This 436-nucleotide long non-coding RNA is filed under the name Salmo salar (Atlantic salmon). Its description in RNAcentral is "lncRNA (ENSSSAG00000116969.1)". Lineage: Eukaryota; Metazoa; Chordata; Actinopteri; Salmoniformes; Salmonidae. The record is from RNAcentral.
GGAGGCAGGUAGCCUAGCGGUUAGAGGGGGGGAGGCAGGUAGCCUAGCGGUUAGAGGGGGGAGGCAGGUAGCCUAGCGGUUAGAGGGGGGAGGCAGGUAGCCUAGUGGUUAGAGUGUUGGACUAGUAACCGAAAGGUUGCUGGAUCGAAUCCCCCGAGCUGACAAGGUAAAAAUCUGUCGUUCUGCCCCUGAACAAGGCAGUUAACCCACUGUUCCCUGGUAGGCCGUCAUUGUAAAUAAAAAUUUGUUCUUAACUGACUUGGCUAGUUAAAUAAAAAUAAUAUCCUAUGCCUUUGGUGUUGAGAAUCUGCAGUUACUGUAAUGGACCAUUGGGGGGCAGUGUCGUCCCUGGAGUACACCACAAAGAGAUCAGGAGAGGUGACCCAGGUCAUGAAGAGAGAAGCCAGAUAAUCAGCCUAGUUAUUCUGAGAGAGUU